CAGCCGCCACGGUAAUACGAGGGGAGCUAGCGUUGUUCGGAAUUACUGGGCGUAAAGCGCGCGUAGGCGGCUUUUUAAGUCAGAGGUGAAAGCCCGGGGCUCAACCCCGGAAUUGCCUUUGAAACUGGAAAGCUAGAAUCUUGGAGAGGUCAGUGGAAUUCCGAGUGUAGAGGUGAAAUUCGUAGAUAUUCGGAAGAACACCAGUGGCGAAGGCGACUGACUGGACAAGUAUUGACGCUGAGGUGCGAAAGCGUGGGGAGCAAACAGGAUUAGAUACCCGCGUAGUCCCUGUCUCUUAUAC
RNAcentral lists this ribosomal RNA (301 nucleotides) under uncultured bacterium. Its description in RNAcentral is "partial 16S ribosomal RNA". It matches the Rfam family "Bacterial small subunit ribosomal RNA", at positions 509 to 807 of the family's 1533-position model. The record is from RNAcentral.